This 702-nucleotide ribosomal RNA is filed under the name uncultured bacterium. RNAcentral describes it as "bacterial SSU rRNA". It matches the Rfam family "Bacterial small subunit ribosomal RNA", at positions 59 to 754 of the family's 1533-position model. The record is from RNAcentral.
CAGUCGACGGCAGCACGGGAGCAAUCCUGGUGGCGAGUGGCGAACGGGUGAGUAAUAUAUCGGAACGUGCCCAGUCGUGGGGGAUAACGCAGCGAAAGCUGUGCUAAUACCGCAUACGAUCUCUGGAUGAAAGCGGGGGACUCGUAAGAGCCUCGCGCGAUUGGAGCGGCCGAUAUCAGAUUAGCUAGUUGGUGGGGUAAAGGCCCACCAAGGCGACGAUCUGUAGCUGGUCUGAGAGGACGACCAGCCACACUGGAACUGAGACACGGUCCAGACUCCUACGGGAGGCAGCAGUGGGGAAUUUUGGACAAUGGGCGCAAGCCUGAUCCAGCAAUGCCGCGUGCAGGAUGAAGGCCUUCGGGUUGUAAACUGCUUUUGUACGGAACGAAAAGGUUUGCCUUAAUACGGUGGGCCCAUGACGGUACCGUAAGAAUAAGCACCGGCUAACUACGUGCCAGCAGCCGCGGUAAUACGUAGGGUGCGAGCGUUAAUCGGAAUUACUGGGCGUAGAGCGUGCGCAGGCGGUUAUAUAAGACAGAUGUGAAAUCCCCGGGCUCAACCUGGGACCUGCAUUUGUGACUGUAUAGCUAGAGUACGGUAGAAGGGGGAUGGAAUUCCGCGUGUAGCAGUGAAAUGCGUAGAUAUGCGGAGGAACACCGAUGGGCGAAGGCAUCCCCUGGACCUGUACUGACGCUCAUGCAC